RNAcentral lists this ribosomal RNA (442 nucleotides) under uncultured bacterium. RNAcentral describes it as "partial 16S ribosomal RNA". It matches the Rfam family "Bacterial small subunit ribosomal RNA", at positions 338 to 795 of the family's 1533-position model. The record is from RNAcentral.
CCUACGGGAGGCAGCAGUAGGGAAUCUUUCACAAUGGGCGAAAGCCUGAUGGAGCAACGCCGCGUGCAGGAUGAAGGCCUUCGGGUUGUAAACUGCUUUUAUAAGCGAGAAAUAUGAUGGUAACUUAUGAAUAAGGAUCGGCUAACUACGUGCCAGCAGCCGCGGUCAUACGUAGGAUCCGAGCAUUAUCCGGAGUGACUGGGUGUAAAGAGUUGCGUAGGUGGCAUAGUAAGUAGCUAGUGAAAUCUGGUGGCUCAACCAUUCAGACUAUUAGCUAAACUGUUAAGCUCGAGACCGUUAGGGGUAACUGGAAUUUCUAGUGUAGGAGUGAAAUCCGUAGAUAUUAGAAGGAACACCAAUAGCGUAGGCAGGUUGCUGGGACGGUUCUGACACUAAGGCACGAAAGCGUGGGGAGCAAACAGGAUUAGAUACCCCAGUAGUC